This 439-nucleotide long non-coding RNA is filed under the name Mytilus galloprovincialis (Mediterranean mussel). The record is from RNAcentral. Lineage: Eukaryota; Metazoa; Mollusca; Bivalvia; Mytilida; Mytilidae.
GUUAUUGUUGCAAACUCCAUUAGAAAUUUGAAUUGAUAUCAGUUUUGGAAAAAGGGAAACGGGGAUGUGGAAAAAAAAGGGGGGGGGGUUAAAUUUUUCUCAUUUCAGAUUUCAUAAAUAAAAAGAAAAUUUCUUCAAACAUUUUUUUGAGAGGAUUAAUAUUCAACAGCAUAGUGAAUUGCUCAAAGGCAAAAAAAAUUUUUUAAGUUCAUUAGACCACAUUCAUUCUGUGUCAGAAACCUAUGCUGUGUCAACUAUUUAAUUUUAGAUUUAAAAAGUUUGAAGAAGAAAUCUUUAAUUGAUUUGUAAAUCUUGACAUUUGUUUUGUGUAAAAAAAAACAUGUAAUGUCAAAAAUUUGAUCACAAUCCAAAUUCAGAGCUGUAUCACGCUUGAAUGUUUUGUCCAUACUUGCCCUAACUGCUCAGGGUUCGACCUCUG